This is a long non-coding RNA of Hyposmocoma kahamanoa, 152 nucleotides long. RefSeq lists it as uncharacterized. The record is from RefSeq and is a predicted model, not a curated record. The transcript is spliced from 2 exons. Lineage: Eukaryota; Metazoa; Arthropoda; Insecta; Lepidoptera; Cosmopterigidae.
GUUCCUAAAAGAAGCUCCGGAUUGGCGAUAUUUGGCAACAAAGGUUGUAUUAAUAUUCGGUAUAAAUGGUGCAUGUAGACGUCAAGAGUUGGCAAACAUAACAACUAAUGAUGUCGAGAACCAUGGGCGGGUUCUUCUUUUCCAGGUCAAAA